Molecule: ribosomal RNA, 468 nt
Filed under: uncultured bacterium
Lineage: Bacteria
Description: partial 16S ribosomal RNA
Rfam family: Bacterial small subunit ribosomal RNA
Source: RNAcentral
GACGAACGCUGGCGGCGUGCUUAACACAUGCAAGUCGAACGGACAGGCCAUGCUUUUGUUGGGUGCUCGAGUGGCGAACGGGUGAGUAACACGUGAGUAACCUGCCCUUGACUUUGGGAUAACUUCAGGAAACUGGGGCUAAUACCGGAUAGUAGCUCCUGCUGCAUGGUGGGGGUUGGAAAGUUUCGGCGGUUGGGGAUGGACUCGCGGCUUAUCAGCUUGUUGGUGUGGUAGUGGCUUACCAAGGUUUCGACGGGUAGCCGGCCUGAGAGGGUGACCGGGCACAGGGGGACUGAGGGAGGGCCCAGACGGCUACGGGAGGCAGCGGGGGGAAAUAUGGCGGAAUGGGCGGAAGCCUGAUGCAGAGACGCCGGGUGCGGGAUGACGGCUUUCGGGGUGUAAACCGCUUUGGACUGUGACGAAGAGUGAGUGACGGUAAUGGGUAAGGAAGCAACGGCUAACUACGUG